UGAAUGAAAGUAUAAUAAUCAAAUUUAUGAAUUGAUAAAAUCAAUAAAAUUAAUUUAAAUUAAUUAAAUUAGGCCAUAAAAUAAUACAAGGAGAGAGAACAAAAUAAAGAUCGAGAGAAAGAGAGGUUGGGUGAGAAAUAGGAAGCAUAUAUGUGUCCUAUAGUCAUGCAAACACAUAGUCAAUUUAUUAAAGGGGGUUCAGAUGAAGAAUCCUAAGAAUUUG
RNAcentral lists this long non-coding RNA (223 nucleotides) under Lathyrus oleraceus (garden pea). RNAcentral describes it as "Pisum sativum (pea) long non-coding RNA (PSAT_LNC010122)". The record is from RNAcentral. Lineage: Eukaryota; Viridiplantae; Streptophyta; Magnoliopsida; Fabales; Fabaceae.